Podarcis lilfordi (Lilford's wall lizard) is the source of this 81-nucleotide non-coding RNA. Lineage: Eukaryota; Metazoa; Chordata; Lepidosauria; Squamata; Lacertidae. The record is from the annotation of a GenBank genome assembly.
ACCACUGUACUGGGAUAGCUCACUUGGUAGAGCAUGAGACUCUUGAUCUCAGGGUCGCUGGUUUGAGGCCCACAUGGGGUG